Molecule: long non-coding RNA, 1561 nt
Organism: Astatotilapia calliptera (eastern happy)
Lineage: Eukaryota; Metazoa; Chordata; Actinopteri; Cichliformes; Cichlidae
Source: Ensembl
UUUGUUUUUAUACAAAAUUUAUUAUUUCGUAUUACAUAGUUAUGUGUACAGGAUGAUCACAUUUUAGAAAAAGUGCAAUUUUUAUUAGAACUUUAAAAGAAUUUAAGCGUGCUAAUGCAGAAAACUCCCCAAGAUAAAACCAAACAGGAGCGAUCCAAGAGUUAAUCAUUGCAUCGCUCUUUUGGGAAAAGAUGAUGUAAACCCCACACCAUGUGACACUGUAAUGAAUAAUACAGUAGUGAGAGAGGUGGGGGAGAAAGGGGGGACGCAAACACUGUAAAGGUUUGCUGAGAAAAAGAGAAGGAGGGUCCUGUAUCCUCAAGACUUAAACUGAGUAGACCGUGCGUUUUGCCGCGAAGACGAGAUGUGCUGGCUGCCGAUAGACCAUCCUCUGCUGCUUCCAGGUGACUCAACCUGCAGCUCCCGUCGACCCUCGCCGUGCUCCGUGGCUCAACUCCUCGCGUCGCGCCUACGAAGGAUCGGGGAUAAGCUGGAGAAAAGCUGGGCGACCGAGCGGGCGGACGUCGGCUACAGCUGCGGGGACAGAGGGACGGUGGUGGUAAGCGGACGGGGUCACCUGAAGGAGGGCUUCCUGUGCGUUGCGCUGCACUUCACCGUGCUCGUGCUGUUCGUCGCGAGGCGACACCUGUAGGGCGCGAGGCUGCCUCACCAGCAACAGACGGUGCCUUUAAGAUUAUGCAUGAGGGAAAGCAACGGGCUCUCAUCAUUUGCACUUAAAGCAAAGGAUGGAGGAGAGUCGGAGGACGCGGUGCAGGAAGAAGUGUGCACAGCGGGUGGAAAAGCGACAAACGAGGAAGCGGGUUAAAUUUGUGUUUCAGGAACGGAACUGCGUUUCUGACUAUUCUGCAUGUGGCAUGAAGACUAACUCAGGUCGGAUAUGGAUGCACUAUACCGAGCUGAGACGACACCAGCAGCCCUGCAGUCAGUCAGCGGCUAUAUCUACCCCUACGUGACUCUCCAAUUCUGUCAUCCCAUCUACAAGCCGGUGAUGUAAUCUUCCCCUGGUAGAGUGGAGGGAAAAGCUUACUAAUAGUACGCCUUUAAAAUUUUCACCUCCCACAAUGCGAGUGCAUCAGUGAAAACUGGGGUUAAACUCAUUAGACCUUCUGUAUCUAGGCUACAAUUAGUGCAGCAAUCCUUAAUAAUGCACUGAAAUGUUUCCAAGCUUCAUAAUGCACUGUACCUUUUCUUUUUUUUAAACAUAAGCUAUAAGUGUAAGCAUGUAAAUAAUGAGAGUGGUUUUUACAGGUGUUUUCUACAGUGUUUAGAUGAUGUUUACACAUUACUCUGCUUUUUUUUUAAUCUGUUGGGGGGAGUGUUAUGUGGCUUGUUAUUAUAAAGAAAACUCCUAGGAAGCUAUGCUGUUAUGCUGUCUGUGAUUUCUGCAAAAAAGAAAAAAGCUUUUUCCCCCCUAGUAUAUUUAAUGUAAUGUGGGUAAAAUUCCUGAAACGGUCUUUUAUAAAGUGUAUGGUCUUUAUACUUUUAAAACAUUUCAUAUGAAUUUUUAGCAGUCCUGAUAAUAAAAAAACGUUUACUGAGA